Non-coding RNA from Anas platyrhynchos (mallard), 2581 nucleotides. The record is from RefSeq and is a predicted model, not a curated record. Lineage: Eukaryota; Metazoa; Chordata; Aves; Anseriformes; Anatidae.
GGGUGAGGUGCGCGCCGUUGGCGGAGCCGAGACUCCCCGGCCGCCCAGCGUUUUUUUUCUUGCUGUUGCUUACUCAAUAAAUUCCCUUCUAUUAUUAAUGCAAUGCUCUCUGAAAAUUAAUUAAGGGAGCAACUUAUAACAAAUUUGGUGCCGUGACUCGGAUGAAGGCAAUCUGAUUGAAAGACCUUCAGAGGGGGCGCCCCGCUGAUUUCAGUGGCCUUCACUAGGACUACUUUCAUUCAAAUCCUUCACCGACGAACCCUAAAUUCGGCAGCAAGCAAAUAAAGCCGGCAACCCCUAGUAAUCUUUGUGCACGAAGACCAAACGAAGACACAGGAGUGAUGUCUCAAGAGACUAUGAAAGCUCUAGGAACAAGUUGGGAAUACCACACUCCGUGGCAUCCCCAAAGUGCUGGAAAGGUAGAGCGAAUGAAUGGUGAAAUUAAGAAACAACUAACAAAACUUAUGCUGGAAACUAAGGCUUCUUGGGUAAAAUGUUUACCUCUUGCACUGUUAAACAUACGGACACAGCCCAAAACUGAUGUAGGAAUUUCUCCUUUAGAAAUGCUAUAUGGUAUGCCCUAUGACUUGGAAUUGCCACUUGAUCACCCUCAAUUCCAAUUAAGACUUGGAAAGAGACUUCUUUAACACCGCGAUGGGGAAGGCCCCUAUGUUGUUUUGCUUACCACAGAAACAGCUAUUUGAACUGCGGAGAAAGGAUGGACGCAUGCCAGCCGUGUGAAAGGACCAAUCCAGGAAGGUAAAUGGGAGGCAGCUCCAGGCCCUGACGACUUGCAGCUGACACUAAGAUGGACUCGAUAAGUAUUUUAUAUUAUCUGUGUAUCAUGGGAAGGGGAUGAGGCCCUGUUUCAAAGGCUCCCUAGUAGGUUCCCAUGAAGAACACUGCUGCUGCCAAGAAGAACCGAUACCUUGUAGUUCGCUGCAACCGAACUGACAAGCAAGGCAGAGAAGUGAAAACGGUGGGGGACUGAGGGGCCGACAAUUUAAAAACACCCUGGAGAGAUGGGCUCUGACCACCUCCUACGAUACAUGGGAGUCAGUAUCAUCAUUUUGGUCAGCUAUGGGUCUGCGUAUCCCCACCAGCCUUUUAAAUGGAGCUUGAUCAGAUGGAAGGAUCAAUUCGUCAUCCAGCAAACAAUGACAGUGGGUGCUCCCAGUUUCCGCAUCACAUUAUGUGACCUGGUGUCAGUGCAGCCAUGCUUUAACCGAUCAGGAUUUUAUUUCUGCCCAAGUUCUAACCCAGGAAAGGUGUACUGUAAUUACCCAAACGCAUAUUAUUGUGCAUACAGGGGGUGUGAAACCCUUGCUACGGACUGGACAGUCAAGGCUGGUCGGGAUAAAUUCUUACAAGUGGGAUAUGGGCCGCAAGGUUGUAAGUGACAAGUGGAUCCCCGUUACAAGUGGCAAGGGCAUGGUAUAGGGUAUACAGGAACCUUCCACGGAAAUAAAGAAAUUUGCAAGGUUCUAUAUAUAAAUAUAACAAACUUGGACAAUACUAGCUGGAUACUAGGAAAAAUGUCAGAUUUUACAAACACAGAACAGAUAGGGGAGGACUCAUACUAAUAAAAAGAAGGAUGCUGAUUGUCAGAAAGUGUCCAGGGAAUCCAGCCUGCGGAAAAUACUACAGUGCCAACCCUUGACAGCCCUACAAGCUCAGGUAAAGCCGAGAAUGAUAACAUAGCUGAGAAUAACAUAUGGGGGGGGGGGGUCAGGAAUGCCAGCUACCAAUUAUUAAACAAAACAAGCCCAAAUGUAACAAAACAUUGUUGAUUAUGCUUUAGAAUAAGGCCUUCAUAUUAUGAUGCUAUCGGCAAUCCUGGGGAGCCCACCCGCACAAACGAGAACAACCCUCUACAAUGCAGUUGGGGAAAAGACAUAAGGGUAACACUAACACAAGUCACUGGAGGUGGUAGGUGUGUGGGCACGGUUCCUAGUGAGAAGUGUCACCUAUGUAAUAUCACGGAGAAUGGAAAACAAUCAGCCGAGUGGUUAAUCCCAGCCAACAACGCUAGGUGGGUUUGUUCAGUGGAUGUAACUCCUUGUCUAUCACUAAAACUCUUUAAUGCAUCUCGUGAUUUUUGUAUACAGGUGAUAAUUAUACCAAGGAUUCUAUACCACCCUGAGGAUUAUAUGUACACCCAGCACACGGUGGCAAGUCAUCAUCUGGAAAGACGGGAACCGUUCACGGCUCUAACUUUAGCCACUCUAAUAAUCCUGGGAGGAGCUGGAGUGGGGACCAGGGUAGCCUCAUUGGUUAAACAAAAUCAAGAAUUUACUUCCUUACACAUUGCUGUGGAGGAGGACCUGACCCAAAUUGAACAAUCCAUCUCGGCCCUGGAAAAUCUAUCAGGUCGCUUUCAGAGGUAGUGUUAAAAAUCGUAGGCGAUUAGAUUUGUUUUUUUGUUUGUUUGUUUGUUUUUUUUACAACAGGGCAGGCUGUGUGCAGCCCUGAAAGAGGAAUGCUGUGUGUAUGCUGAUCGCACUGGAGUGGUAAGAGGUACAAUGGUAAGACUCAGGGAAGGGCUGGAAAAAAGGAAACGGGAGAAUGAAGCCCAACAAAG